GGGGGUUCCGGAAAAUGGGGAAAAUNCGAAGGCCCGAGCNUACAAACACACCUUAACAACUCGCCUANUGUUAAAGUGUGUCCUUNGUCGAUACUGGUANUAAUGCGGUUCCGAUAAAUCCACUGUGGAUAUCUUNUGAGUUCGAUACGUAGGUUGCGCAACCCUCGAGAGGGUAUACCAGCUGGACGUCCGCCGGCGCUUAAGUGAUCACUAAUUGCGCUUCUNGGAAUGGUCCGGAACUGUAGGUUACUUGAAAGGUCUCUACCUAACCACGGAAGCCCUUGUAACUCUGUCCACGACGUACCGACAGCAGUCGAGCACAGCACUCUACAACCCAAUUCAGGGCAUUGCUCGCGUUGGGAACAGGAAUCAAUGGUCGUGCAAUUCCACCCGUGAGAUUCCUCUGACGGCCACUGUUUGGCCUCCUUCCACCCCUACUGCAGUUCAGUAGUACCGGGAAUGCCGGACCCGAUGUGUGCACGAUGUUACCAGCCAUGUCUCCCAACGGUUCGGCGCUCCACCUCGAUUAGGGUAUUUUGGCUAGCAUCAGGCCUAGCGUCAGACGUUGAGCUGACGCACUUCAGCCUUAGCGAUCAUUAGCGCUUAGUCUUACAGCGCCACUUAUGCAAGGGCCCGGAACAUGUGUGGCUUAGCUUAANG
This 660-nucleotide ribosomal RNA is filed under the name uncultured bacterium. RNAcentral's name for it is "partial 16S ribosomal RNA". The record is from RNAcentral.